RNAcentral lists this small RNA (109 nucleotides) under Sinorhizobium meliloti 2011. Its description in RNAcentral is "putative ncRNA". Lineage: Bacteria; Pseudomonadati; Pseudomonadota; Alphaproteobacteria; Hyphomicrobiales; Rhizobiaceae. The record is from RNAcentral.
CAUCGGUAUGCCGAUCGCUAUCGACAGGACCGUACAGACGAAGAUCAUCGAGAUCGUCUUCAUCGUGUCGUCCCACAUGUCGAGAUAGCCGAUGAGGAGCAGGGUACCG